AGAUAAUAGAUACCCAGGUAGUCCACGCCGUAAACGAUGAGUGCUAGGUGUCACGGGCUUUGACCCUCGUGGUGCCGAAAGCUAACGCGUUAAGCACUCCGCCUGGGGAGUACGGUCGCAAGACUAAAACUCAAAGAAAUUGACGGGGGCCCGCACAAGCGGUGGAGCGUGUUGUUAAAUUCGACGCAACGCGAAGAACCUUACCUGGGCUAGAAAGUACUGGAAGUCGGUCGAAAGGUCGAUGUGUCCUGGAACCAGUGUUAGGUGCUGCAUGGCUGUCGUCAGCUCGUGUCGUGAGAU
RNAcentral lists this ribosomal RNA (300 nucleotides) under uncultured bacterium. RNAcentral's name for it is "bacterial SSU rRNA". It matches the Rfam family "Bacterial small subunit ribosomal RNA", at positions 775 to 1073 of the family's 1533-position model. The record is from RNAcentral.